Molecule: ribosomal RNA, 253 nt
Filed under: uncultured bacterium
Lineage: Bacteria
Description: partial 16S ribosomal RNA
Rfam family: Bacterial small subunit ribosomal RNA
Source: RNAcentral
UACAGAGACUGCAAGCGUUAUUCGGAUUCACUGGGCGUAAAGGGUGCGCAGGCGGCCGUAUGUGUGAGGCGUGAAAGCCCGGGGCUUAACCCCGGAAUUGCACCUCAAACUAUACGGCCAGAGCAUUGGAGAGGGUAGCAGAAUUCAUGGUGUAGCAGUGAAAUGCGUAGAUAUCAUGAGGAAUACCAGAGGCGAAGGCGGCUACCUGGACAAUUGCUGACGCUCAGGCACGAAAGCGUGGGGAGCAAACGGG